UGCGAGGAGCGCAGCGACGAAGCAAUCCAUUUUGAUCUGUGUGGAUUGCUUCGCUGCGCUCGCAAUGACGAUUUGAGCUGGCAUCACUUGUGGAUCAGCGUUCCCGUGCCCUGAUUGGUGAACAGUUCGAGCAGUACCGCGUGCGGCGUCUUGCCGUCGAUGAUGACCACGCCNAUGACCACGCCCUCGACGCCGGCUUCCAGCGAAUAGAUGCAGGUCUCGACCUUGGGAAUCA
Molecule: unclassified non-coding RNA, 235 nt
Filed under: Hevea brasiliensis (rubber tree)
Lineage: Eukaryota; Viridiplantae; Streptophyta; Magnoliopsida; Malpighiales; Euphorbiaceae
Source: RNAcentral